RNAcentral lists this ribosomal RNA (448 nucleotides) under uncultured bacterium. Its description in RNAcentral is "bacterial SSU rRNA". It matches the Rfam family "Bacterial small subunit ribosomal RNA", at positions 330 to 793 of the family's 1533-position model. The record is from RNAcentral.
GCCAGACUCCUACGGGAGGCAGCAGUGGGGAAUAUUGGGCAAUGGGGGAAACUCUUACCCAGCAAUGCCGCGUGAAUGAAGAAGGUCUUCGGAUUGUAAAGUUCUUUAAUUGGGGACGAAAAAAAUGACGGUACCCAAGGAAUAAGCCCCGGCUAACUACGUGCCAGCAGCCGCGGUAAUACGUAGGGAGCAAGCGUUGUCCGGAAUUACUGGGUGUAAAGGGAGCGUAGGCGGGAUGGCAAGUUGGGUGUUAAAUCUACCGGCUCAACUGGUAGUCGCACUCAAAACUGCUAUUCUUGAGUGAAGUAGAGGCAGGCGGAAUUCCUAGUGUAGCGGUGAAAUGCGUAGAUAUUAGGAGGAACACCAGUGGCGAAGGCGGCCUGCUGGGCUUUUACUGACGCUGAGGCUCGAAAGUGUGGGGAGCAAACAGGAUUAGAUACCCUGGUAG